This 2460-nucleotide long non-coding RNA is filed under the name Linum usitatissimum (flax). RNAcentral describes it as "long non-coding RNA (LUSI_LNC005794)". The record is from RNAcentral. Lineage: Eukaryota; Viridiplantae; Streptophyta; Magnoliopsida; Malpighiales; Linaceae.
UUGUUCAUUCUUUUGAUAAAAUUUGGAUUAGCUAGCUAGUUUUACUUGGUCAACGGUUGUUGGAGAUUUGAAGGUUCAUUUCCUUAUUGGUCUGUGUAUUUUUAGGUUGAAUGCGACUGAUUUCCUAGAGAGAUUAAGAGGGAAAAAGAUGGUUUUUGUGGGGGAUUCUCUGAACAGAAAUAUGUGGGAAUCUUUGGUGUGUAUACUCCGCCAUAGUAUCAGCAACAAGAAGAAAGUUCAUGAGAUAUCAGGGAAGACUGAGUUUAAGAAGAAAGGUUUCUACGCCUUCUUGUUCGAGGCAAGUUGUUGGAAAUGAAAUCACCUCACUUAUGUUAAACCACUUUAUAUGAUGUUUAAUUGUUUGAGGUGUAAUUUGCAGGACUACAACUGUACUGUGGAUUUCGUUGGCUCCCCGUUCCUCGUUCGAGAAUCAUCCUUCUCUGGUGCGAACGGUACGUUAGAGACGUUAAGGUUGGACUUGAUGGACAAGACAACUUCCAUGUACGAUGAUGCUGAUAUACUAGUUUUCAACACUGGUCACUGGUGGACUCAUGCGAAAACUUCUAAAGGGUAUGAAUGAACAAUACUCUACUUCUUGUUACCAUUUUGCAACCAUAUGAAUGUCGAAUUCGUGUUUUGUAGAGAGGACUAUUAUCAGGAAGGUGAUUAUGUGCAUAAAAGGCUCAAGGUACUUGAAGCAUAUAAGAGGGCACUUAGAACAUGGAGCAGAUGGGUUGAUCAGAGCAUAGAUACAAACAGAACCCUUGUCUUCUUCAGAGGCUAUUCAGUGACUCAUUUCAGGUAUAGAAUACUCUUGGAAUCUCAUUUUCAUCGAACACAUUCUUUUUUCUAUUCCAAGUCAUUAGUUAUCUUGUAAGAUUGGAGCUUAGCAAAGAGGUAAAGACUCAACGACAUGUUUGAAAUUCCCCGAAUUCGAGUAUUUGACACGUUUAUUAGGGGUUUGUCUUAUCUCUUGUCAAGUGCAUACGAUUCCAACAAGGAAAGCUUCGUUUGUCUUGUUCUUUUGCAGAGGUGGCCGGUGGAACUCAGGAGGACAAUGCCACAAAGAGACUGAACCGAUCUUCAACGCAACUCACUUAGCUAAGUACCCUACGAAAAUGAAAGUUUUGGAGAAUGUGCUCCAUGAGAUGAAAACUCCAGUGAUUUAUCUGAACAUAAGCAGACUCACGGAUCACAGAAAAGACGGGCACCCGUCGAUUUACAGAAUGAAAUACGAUACGCCUGAAGAACUUGCUGCAGCCGAACGAUCCCAAGAUUGCAGUCACUGGUGCCUUCCGGGAGUGCCGGAUACCUGGAAUGAGCUUCUCUAUGCCUCGAUCUUGAAGUCUGGGAUUGGAUCAACCUAGAAGAAAUGAAUCCAGGUGAUUCGCAACGGUGCAUCUACUGAAUCUUUUUCUGAAUACCGAGUCUGCUUCUACAUAAUACCAAUUCAUCUACUGAAUCUUUUCUGUUGUAACUUUUACCAAUUAGCCAUAGAGUAGCAAAAGCUUGUUGAUUGCUUAAAAGGAUGUAAAAUUUGAACGACUGGUUCUGCUAGGCUCGAAAUUGUAGAUUCUGAUACAAGAUACUUGUCUUCAGUUCCAGAGAUUCCAGAAAUGGUCAAAUGUUUGAUUCUUGUAUGCUAUUUACACUUCUACUAGCCAACUCAGUUUUACCAAUUCCAGAAAUUGAUGGAUGUUUGUAGUACUUGCAUUCAAUACGCGGCAAUAAUCGCGAUAAAUUGUCGUUUUUAACUGGUUUAACAAGACGGUACGAUGAGUAAAGCAUCGAUCUUUAUCGGUUCAACCAGGCAGUACGAUAAGUAAGAAGUACAAACAUCAAUCCUCUUAUGAUUUGGAUUUUCAGAAACAAAACAAACCAAAACAGAAACCAUACUGGUGGUUUUUGCAGAAUCAGAACAGACAUCAAAACAAACUGGAUUGCAACAUAAGAAAGCAAAAGAUAAAUGUUUUAGCCAUAAGAGGAACUCCCAUCAUGACUGGAGCCGAACUGCCUUUCUGUGACUUGCCGGUUCGCCAGCAGAAAGAUGAAACCUUUCGCCAUUAAAGGACUGGAAAAAUUUCACCUCAUCACUGAACAAACUGUUUUGAAGAAGAUAAUGAUGAUGAACAAUGGAACCCACCAAAGGCAAGGUUUGGGAACCAAUCAUCCAACACUCCAAAUCUGUUCCCCCCCACAAACAAACAACCAACUCCCCCCCAAAGGCUUCUUCUUUCUCCAUGGAUAUGGGGAUCAGAGCUUUGAUUGGAAGAACACUACCAUUUUUCCAGAUCAGGAGUGGAAUCCAAUGGGGGAGAGGGGAAGUUUGGCUCUUUGUGGCAAGAGAGCCAAAAUGGUUUGUGGGGGGUGGAGGAGCUUAGCCUAGUUAUGGAGGGGUUUAAAUAGUUUCAUUGGUUGAGAAGUGAAGGAUAAAUUUUUGGGGGUUUUUUUUUUGUUUUU